Molecule: long non-coding RNA, 1132 nt
Filed under: Coffea arabica (coffee)
Lineage: Eukaryota; Viridiplantae; Streptophyta; Magnoliopsida; Gentianales; Rubiaceae
Description: long non-coding RNA (CARA_LNC003311)
Source: RNAcentral
CAAAAAUCAUUGAAGCAUGCCAAAGAAAGUUAACAUUUAAAAAGGACAAAAUGGAAUAAGUUUUCCAAUUUUGUGAGCUAUAGUAACAUUAUAGGGAACUUGAGGGGCUGAAGUGCAAUUUUUGAAAAAGUUUCAUGCAACGGAUUCGAAGAAAUCUUCUUCUUCUUCUUCUCCGCUGGUUUCCUUCUGAAACUUUGCAGCUCAUCCAAUUGAGACGUCUUACGCAAUCUCAAAUCAAGCCAGCAAACUCAUGAACCAAACCCAUUAAAACUUCAACACACUUUAAUUAACACAACAAAAAAUGCUGGAGACAAGUCAUUGAAGAUCCAACAAAGAACUAAAUGGAAAAACAUGCCAUCAACCGAGAAAAAAACCAGUUUUCUGGUGAAUCCUAGAUGGGUCUAUCAAAAGCUAACACUCCUCAGCCAACCCAUUGAACUAUCAAGCAUCAGACUAGUCUAAAGCUUUGACAAAAUCAAACCAUCAAAAGCCACUUUCUCCACAGCAUCAGUAACCACGCAAAAAGAAAAAUCCAAGAAACCCAUCUAUGCAAAUGAUUCCAAAAUCUCAUACAAAGUGUUAAACCAACUAUUGAAGGAAGAUUAUUGUUACCUAUGACCAGUUGACGUGCUGAAUCGAUGCGAAGAAACUGGAAGCAAUCGUCCAGUGUGCCAAAAUGAAGCAAAAAAAACUUCUUUCCCAGUUCUUCAAGGAUGACGUAGACAGCGAGUUCAAGCCCACUUUUGGUGAUGUUGAACUCGUUUUUUCCUGAAAUGUUCAACACGAAGUCUCCUUCCUAAGCAACGAAGAUUACCCAUAAAAAAUAAUUUUCCCAAAAAAAGUUAUAAACAGUUCAGAAAAUGGCCGGGAAGACCCCUGAAUCUCCAACCCUGGCUCAAAUUUUUGACGAAAAAAUUGUCCUUUUCUCUCUUUUUCCUCUCUGAUUUCUCUCCCUUUUUGCUCUCUCCGACACACCCUCUCUCUUUCAGACUCUCUCCUCCCUUUUCUGGUUUCUCUUCUCUCUUUCUCUCUUCUAUUCUUUCUCCCGUCCCUGUCCCAGAAAACCCUCUUUUUCUGUUUCUUUUUCUUGCCUUUCUUUUGUUUCUUGCCCGCAGCUCUUUUCUCUCUCCCC